This 382-nucleotide ribosomal RNA is filed under the name Lamproderma ovoideoechinulatum. RNAcentral describes it as "partial small subunit ribosomal RNA". It matches the Rfam family "Bacterial small subunit ribosomal RNA", at positions 570 to 930 of the family's 1533-position model. The record is from RNAcentral. Lineage: Eukaryota; Evosea; Eumycetozoa; Stemonitida; Stemonitidae.
CGUAGGCGGAAAUUUCAAAACAGGGUAAAAGACUGAGGAAGACCCUCUUUAAUCUUUGUUUACUGGAUUUCUUGAGUUCUAAUGGGAGGUUUGAAUUCCCUAAGUAAGAGUAGAAUUGUUCAUAUUGGAAGACAUUCGAAGGCGGAAGCGAUAAUCGAGUUAGAUCUGACGCUAAGGUACUAAAGUAUGGGUAUGAAAAGGAUUAGAGACCUUGUAGUCCAUACCUUAAACAAUGAGUGUUCAACGUCCUUAAAUAUUUUAAAUUAACUUUAAGUUUAUUUGACUGGAAUUUAGGGGGGUUUAAAGCUAACGCGUGAAACACCGCCUGGGGAAUGUGGCCGCAAGGUUAAACUCAAAGGAAUUGACGGAGGCUUGUACAAGG